AUGGCCACACCUGCAGCAUAUGAAAGUUCCCAGGCCAGGGGUCGAACUGGAGCUGCAGCUGCCAGCCUGCGCCACAGCCACAGCAAUGCCAGAUCUGAGCCACAUCUAAGACCUACAUCACAGCUCACCAGCAACACUAGAUCCUUAACCCACUGAGCGAGGUCAGGUAUUGAACCCACAUCAUCAUGGAUACUAGUUGGGUUCAUAACCGGUUGAGCCACAGCGGGAACUCUCUACAGUGUGGUGUUAAUUUCUGCUGUAGAGCAAAGUGACUCAGUUUUACAUAUAUACUUUUUCAUAUUCUUUGUUCAUUACGGUUUAUGCAGGAUAUUGAAUAUAGUUCCCUGUGCUAUGCAAUAGGACCCAGCUGCCUAUCCCUCCUCUACGUAACAGUUUGCCUCUGUUAGUCCCAAACUCACAACCCUUUCCUUACUAACUUUUAAAAUUACAGCCAAGACACGGAAACAACCUAAAUGUCCACCGACAGAGGAGUGGAUCAAGAAGAGGGGGUACCUAUAUACAAUGGAAUAUUACUCAGCCAUUAAAAGGAAAGAAAUAACAGCAUUUGUAGCAACAUGGGUGGACCUAGAAAUUAUCAUGCUACUUGAAGUCAGUCAGACAAUGAGACACCAACAUCAAAUGCUAUCACUUACAUGUGGAAUCUAAAAAAAGGACACAAUGAACCUCUUUGCAGAACAGAUACAGACUCACAGACUUUGAAAAAUGUAUGGUUUCCAAAGGAGACAGACUGGGGGGUGGGGGGAGGCGCUGAGGGUUCGGGAUGGAUAUGCUGUAAAAUUUGGUUGCGAUGAUUGUUGUACACCUAUAAAUGUAAUAAAAUUCAUUGAGUAAUAAAAUAAAUAAAUACCAAGACAUAAAAUCAAAUAAAAUUAUAUAAUCACGAAUACAUAUUUUUUAACACGGAUGACUUUGAGUGAAAGUAAAAUUCUUUUUCUUUUUUAACUUGACAGUAGGCUUGGAAAUCUUUCAAUGUCAUUUCCUUCCUUUAAAAGGCGCAGACUAUUCUACAGUAUGGUUAUAGCGUCAUUGCAAAGCAUUCCCAUACUGCUGGACAUCAACAGUGUUUCUAAUUUCAUUGCAACUCUAAGUAAUGCUGUAAUUAAUUUCUUUGUGAAAAUCAGUUCUACACAGUCAGGCACUGUUUUCUAUGUAUCUCUACCUGGGGGCCCAAUACGAUUCAAACAACAGUUGGGAGAGAGCGACUAUGCCCUGUAUGUUUUGUUGCGGUGGUGGUUCCACUGAACAUAGCAGGUCCAGGCAGGUCCUCAAGAGAUGCUCAGGAAUUGAGAACGUCCUCCCACUGUCUCUAGGCCUCUGGUGAGUGGAGUGUGCUGGGGUGCAAGCUGGCAACGGGUGCCUCGUGCAUAGUAGGCAAUCUAAAAAAUAUUAAAUGACCCCAACCACUUGAAUAAACUGAAGCAUUGUGCCAGAAAGUUGGAAAAUUGUCCGUGUGAAGCAACUCUCUGCCUCCUUGGCCUUUUAGGGGCAGAGAGGACAUGUCUCCCCACCCCCGACCCCCCGGCCCAUUCAUCUUUCUGCCAGCCGCUCCAAGCGAGAUGCCUGCCAGCUUCCUCUCUCGAGUGGUCCAGGCAAGGUCAUUACCUGGCAACAAGAACUCUCCUUAUCUCCCUGGCCCUGUUUCAGAAAAGAGUCAUUGACAGCAGGGAUUCAAUCUCCCUUCUAAAGCCCUUUCCCAGAUAAACAAGCUUUAAAGAAUCCAUCGUUUGCUUGACCUUUUGAGAGGCCAAGUCAUCAAACCAGCAGGGAGGAGGCUAAGGAAGUGCUGCCCCCUCGCCAGGAAAAGGUUCUCUCUCCCAAAAGAUUUGUGGCCCCGGAGAGGGCUUACAAGAGAGACCCAGAACCACAGAGGCAGCUCUGAAAACAAACCGCUAUCAAUUUAACAGGGCAUGGCUUUUCAAAUCCGACCUGAGGUCCACACACAUGGGAAGACUUCAGGAUGGGAAGUAGCAGAUGGCCAGCCAGGGGAAGCACAGAAAUCCCUCUAGGGUGGGUUUUCCACGAAGAAUGGACAGUACUGGAGAUUCAUCCUUGCCCUACAGAAAUAACGAACAAUUCAAAGAACGUGAAGGAAAGAGUUCUUUGGGACGCAGCGGGUUAAGGAGCUGGCAUUGUCCCUGCAGCAGCUCAGGUCACUGCUGUGGCACAGGUUCCAUGCCUGGCCCCAGGAAUUUCCACAUGCUGUGGGUGUGGCCCAAAAAAAAAAAAAAAACGUGGAGCAAGAAAUAGAGAAAAAGACAACAGAAAGAAAAAGAAAGAGAAAAUGGAGAAAGAAUAAAGAAGGACUCACAGAGGGUGAGGCAAGGAUGGACGGCCAAUGGAUGAUAUAAGGAUCCAGGGAAAAAGCAGGCGAGUUGCUGUGAGCGCUUUGAAAGAAAAGGAGGACUGUCCCAAAGUACGGACAUAGGAGUGGUUUAAAUUC
RNAcentral lists this long non-coding RNA (2461 nucleotides) under Sus scrofa (pig). RNAcentral describes it as "lncRNA (ENSSSCG00000054309.1)". Lineage: Eukaryota; Metazoa; Chordata; Mammalia; Artiodactyla; Suidae. The record is from RNAcentral.